UUUAGUUCCUCCAGAGCACGCAGAGGCCAUGAGGUCAGUGGAUGGAAGCAGUGCACGAGUAAGGAGGGGGAUGGAUGCUGUCAUCAUGUAUGUUAAUUAAGGGUGCAGUCAUUGCAUAUGCAAAAGGUUCAGUUGUUGUAUAAAUUGCACUGGAUCGAGACACGAGUUGGGAGAGUUACGAGGUAGUCGCUGGAUGCAAGCCAGGCAGCAAUGUUCUGAGCAUGGGGGAUUUUACCACGUAACUUGGAAGAGAAUUCAACAUGAUCUGUAAAGGAAUAACUUUUCCACGGGAAUUAUGGAUUUAAGGAGUGCUCUUUCUGCACUGUUGGAGGAUUACAAAAGACUGUGAUCUAAAAAUAACGCUGACUGAAGGAAUAUUACUGAACUCUAUAAUUUCCAAAAGGAUUAACACCAGAGUGGAUUAUAACAAAGUUUUUAUUGGGCCAAACAACAUAAAGGAUCCAAGCAGAUCUAAAUGGGGACUGAACUCUCUCUCCACCUCCUCCCUGGAGCAGAGCCCAGCUGGGCGUCGGUCUUCAGGUGAGCAGCAGACGAAUGUCAAACCAGAAAAACUAACAGCAGGAAAAGUUCAACCGAAAACACACAAAGAUGAUCCUCAGUACACAAAACCAGACACACAACUAAUCAGACACACAGUGAUCCAGACACAUGAAGAAAAAUCGUCAAAAUAUGAAGAAAUCAGUUUUAAAGUCAUCAUGAGAUUUCCUCCAGAAUCAGAUCCUGUCAGGAGGAAAAUAAAUAAAAAGGAGUCACUGCUCUCAAGACUGGAUCCAUGGAAACCAGCUGGGUUUCUACGUCUCACUUUAAUCAUUCAAACAACCGAUGUUUAAAAAAGAAGCUCCAGCACGACUACAGGAGGUCCUUCCAUCUCCACGUGAACAGCAGCUGUCCAUCCAGCUGUUCCAGGUGUUUCCUACCUGAGUGUGAGAUCUGCAGC
This is a long non-coding RNA of Amphiprion ocellaris (clown anemonefish), 958 nucleotides long. RefSeq lists it as uncharacterized. The transcript has 3 exons. NCBI's taxonomy places the organism in Eukaryota, Metazoa, Chordata, Actinopteri, Pomacentridae. The record is from RefSeq and is a predicted model, not a curated record.